RNAcentral lists this long non-coding RNA (798 nucleotides) under Urocitellus parryii (Arctic ground squirrel). Its description in RNAcentral is "lncRNA (ENSUPAG00010014085.1)". Lineage: Eukaryota; Metazoa; Chordata; Mammalia; Rodentia; Sciuridae. The record is from RNAcentral.
UCUCUCUUGAGCCCACCUCCUGUCUUGUCUCUGAUUAGGAAACUGGCCUGGCUGUCACAUCCCRUGCCUCACAAUGGGGCUGGGUUGUCAUCCAUCACUGCCCACACUUGGCUGCUAGUUCAGCCAUGAAAUGGUCUACCUCCAGAAUGAGCUGGACCACAAAAUCACUGGGAGGACUCCUUUCCCUGGUUCUUUUUGGCUUAAAAAGAAGUAUUAGCCAAGAAAAGGGAAGGUAUGCCUUCAGAGAGGAGAAGAAACCACAGCAAUGGAGACCUCCGACUCAGAGAUCCUUGGAACAGAGAAGAACCUCKAUUCCAGAUCCAAGACUGCCACCUGGGAGCCUUUUCUAUCCAUGUGCAUAGAAGGAUCUUGACAUGGAAAGAGACAAUGUAACCUUGUCUCUGUGUAGUUCCAUCCGGUUAUUCAUACUUCUAGAACUGAAAAGUUAAUAAUCUGCCCCUUUCUUGCAACUGCUUGUAUUUUUAUCAGAGUUGCUAAUAGCCCAGAUGAUAUGGAGGAUGCAAUGGUUUCCAAGUGGGAGAAUCAUGGAAAUCCCAGGUGGUCAGACAUCAUCUUAGGAGACUUGCUACACACUCCUGUUCUUGAAGAAGCUAUUAUGCAUGUGUGUGUCUCUGCUUUUUUACUCUGAAGGAAAUGACCCUUCACCUGAUGUACAUAUUCACCAAGAUUUCAGACAGAGUUGGAUGAUCCUUCCACAUCAUCAUGAUUAGUCCUCAAGGAUUGUUUAUUUUUUAAUUUGACAAGUAAUAACUCCUAAUAAACAUUUAUAGAAAAUAA